CCUGACUGCUAUCGGAUUGAUACUAAGCCAUGCGAGUCUUUGUAGCAAUACAAGGCAGACGGCUCAGUAACACGUAGUCAAUCUACCCUAUGGACGGGGAUAACCUCGGGAAACUGAGAGUAAUACCCGACAGAUCAUUAUGCCUGGAAUGGUUUAUGGUUUAAAUGAUUUAUCGCCGUAGGAUGGGACUGCGGUCUAUCAUGCUUGUUGGUGAGGUAAUGGCCCACCAAGGCUAUAACAGGUACGGGCUCUGAGAGGAGAAGCCCGGAGAUGGGUACUGAGACACGGACCCAGGCCCUAUGGGGCGCAGCAGGCGAGAAAACUUUGCAAUGUGCGAAAGCACGACAAGGUUAAUCCGAGUGUUUCCUGCUAAAGGAAUCUUUUGUUAGUUGUAAAACCACUGAUGAAUAAGGGGUGGGCAAGUUCUGGUGUCAGCCGCCGCGGUAAAACCAGCACCUCAAGUGGUCAGGAGGAUUAUUGGGCCUAAAGCAUCCGUAGCCUGCUUUGUAAGUUUUCGGUUAAAUCCAUCAGCUCAACUGAUGGGCCGCCGAAAAAACUGCAAAGCUAGGGAGUGGGAGAGGUAGACGGUACUCGAUAGGAAGGGGUAAAAUCCUUUGAUCUAUUGAUGACCCCCUGUGGCGAAGGCGGUCUACCAGAACACGUUCGACGGUGAGGGAUGAAAGCUGGGGGAGCAAACCGGAUUAGAUACCCGGGUAGUCCCAGCUGUAAACGAUGCAGACUCGGUGAUGCCCUGGCUUGUGGCCAGUGCAGUGCCGCAGGGAAGCCGUUAAGUUUGCCGCCUGGGAAGUACGUACGCAAGUAUGAAACUUAAAGGAAUUGGCGGGGGAGCACCACAAGGGGUGAAGCCUGCGGUUC
This 876-nucleotide ribosomal RNA is filed under the name uncultured Candidatus Nitrosopumilus sp. Its description in RNAcentral is "bacterial SSU rRNA". It matches the Rfam family "Archaeal small subunit ribosomal RNA", at positions 21 to 903 of the family's 1478-position model. The record is from RNAcentral. Lineage: Archaea; Thermoproteati; Nitrososphaerota; Nitrososphaeria; Nitrosopumilales; Nitrosopumilaceae.